CUUAAAUAAAUAUAUACUAGUUCAGUGAUAAUGAACGCCAUACUAAACUCCAAAUUGUACACAAGAAACAAAAAUUAAAAAUAAUUCAAGACUAACAAAAGCCAGAGGCUCCUGACUUGGGACAGGCGCAAAAAUGCGGUGUGGUUAAUGUAUGGGGCGAGGAUUUAGUCCAUGUAUAAAAUCACCAAUUCACCAACAUUCCAACUGACUCCAUUCUCAGAAAACGAAAUCUGUAACACACAUAAACUUUUAGCCACCGCUUUACAAGCAGAGCCAAAUACAAUGACAGUCCCAACUAUGUAUUGGCUUCCGAAGCUACACAA
This 323-nucleotide long non-coding RNA is filed under the name Mytilus galloprovincialis (Mediterranean mussel). The record is from RNAcentral. Lineage: Eukaryota; Metazoa; Mollusca; Bivalvia; Mytilida; Mytilidae.